CAGUGGUUCGUGUUGCUUUUACAGCAGCGUUUGGCAAUUUGGUUUUUCGCAUUGUCUUGCUUGACUCUCCAGAUAGGAUUAGCAUGCUAAAAGUUCAGUUUCUUUUUGGAUGUAUUUGGACGUCAUCUUUAUUCCCAGCAGUAAAAUGGGUUGAGUUGUUGAUCUCAGAGCUUCAGGCCUGCAAGAUGGAUCAGCUUGAUGCAUGAAUAUGAGGCUAAAAAGUUUAGGAUGGAUGAGCUGCUGUUAAGAGGCGUUAAUAAACUGCUCCCAGCAGUGAUUGUAAAGAUCAAGAACAGAGAUUAGCUUAAUAUAUGUUGCAACAAGGGGGAAGCUAGCUGCUGGAAUCAUAGCCUAGUCCUCAGGAUGUUUAUAUAUUGCUCCCAGCAGUGGUAGUCAAGAUUCAGCGUGA
Molecule: long non-coding RNA, 409 nt
Organism: Rosa rugosa (rugosa rose)
Lineage: Eukaryota; Viridiplantae; Streptophyta; Magnoliopsida; Rosales; Rosaceae
Exons: 5
Source: RefSeq, a predicted model, not a curated record